UUUUACUUGUGAUGGAAGGAGGCAGUGUACGGAGCAAGGGAAAAGAGCCAUGUAUUGGUAAAUCAUCAUCUGCUACAGCCUGUGAAUGGGUGGUUACUACUGAUGGCUUCAUGAUAUGUUGAAAGAGAAGAUAGGUGGAGAGCUUGUUAGAUGGAAUGCCACGAAGUUUGGCACACUUUUUUGUUCCUACAGAGUUUUUGGGACAGACAAGACAAGUUCCAAGCUUGGAUGGUGUCUAGUGAUUGGAAAAAUAAUGAUUGGAGAGAUGAAGAAGACCACAAAUUCACCUACAAUUGUUUGAUAGAUAGGAUAUGGUGGGAGAAGGUUGAAAUGGUACUGAAAACUGUGACACCACUCUAUUCUGUGCUUCGAUUUGCUGACCAAUAGAAAAAAUGGAACCAUUUCUAGCUUUCUUCUAAAAAUUUUAUCUACUCAAGCUGAGAUCUUUGCUAAGUUAAAGCAUGACAAAAAUGUCAAAAGAGAUUUCAUGAAGAAAGUGAAUGAAAUAAUUAAAAAGAGAACUCAGUAUCUUCUUAA
Zea mays is the source of this 537-nucleotide long non-coding RNA. RefSeq lists it as uncharacterized. The record is from RefSeq and is a predicted model, not a curated record. NCBI's taxonomy places the organism in Eukaryota, Viridiplantae, Streptophyta, Magnoliopsida, Poales, Poaceae. The transcript has 2 exons.